ACCUCGGAUCAGGUAGGAAUACCCGCUGAACUUAAGCAUACAA
This 43-nucleotide ribosomal RNA is filed under the name Trichoderma harzianum. RNAcentral describes it as "partial 28S ribosomal RNA". Lineage: Eukaryota; Fungi; Ascomycota; Sordariomycetes; Hypocreales; Hypocreaceae. The record is from RNAcentral.